AACAUCGCGCACCUGCGGGAACCUGCGGAGGGAUCAUUAUCGAGUUUACAACUCCCAAACCCCUGUGAACAUACCAAUCGUUGCCUCGGCGGGACCGCCCCGGCGCCCCCGGGCCCGGACCCAGGCGCCCGCCGGAGGACCCCCAAACUCACUUGAUUCCACGGUGUAUCUUCUGAGUGACACAAGCAAAUAAAAUCAAAACUUUUAGCAACGGAUCU
Molecule: unclassified non-coding RNA, 218 nt
Filed under: soil metagenome
Description: partial contains 5.8S ribosomal RNA, internal transcribed spacer 2, and large subunit ribosomal RNA
Source: RNAcentral